UACAUUGCGCAGUGACAGUAACAUAGUCUAUGAGGUUCGUAAGAGGCAUGUUUAUUGCUAGUUGAAAAUUGUACCCAAUACAUGUAUUCAUGCCACUUCAGACAUCUAAUGUAACAAUUGGUAAUUUAUAUGUUAU
Ciona savignyi (Pacific transparent sea squirt) is the source of this 136-nucleotide non-coding RNA. The record is from Rfam. Lineage: Eukaryota; Metazoa; Chordata; Ascidiacea; Phlebobranchia; Cionidae.